RNAcentral lists this ribosomal RNA (1184 nucleotides) under Shewanella algae. Its description in RNAcentral is "bacterial SSU rRNA". It matches the Rfam family "Bacterial small subunit ribosomal RNA", at positions 64 to 1287 of the family's 1533-position model. The record is from RNAcentral. Lineage: Bacteria; Pseudomonadati; Pseudomonadota; Gammaproteobacteria; Alteromonadales; Shewanellaceae.
CAUUUCUGCAAAAGCUUCGCUUUUGGAAUAUGCACGAGCGGCGGACGGGUGAGUAAUGCCUGGGAAUUUGCCCUUUUGUGGGGGAUAACAGUUGGAGACGACUGCUAAUACCGCAGACGCCCUACGGGGGAAAGCAGGGGAACUUCGGGCCUUGCGCUGAUGGAUAACCCCAGGUGGGAUUAGGUAGUAGGUGAGGUAAUGGCUCACCUAGGCCACGAUCCCUAUCUGGUCUGAGAGGAUGAUCACCCACACUGGGACUGACACACGGCCCAGACUCCUACGGGAGGCAGCAGUGGGGAAUAUUGCACAAUGGGGGAAACCCUGAUGCACCCAUGCCGCGUGUGUGAAUAAGGCCUUCCGUUUUAAAAUCUCAUUCAGCGAGGAGGAAAGGGUGUAAGUUAAUACCUUACAUCUGUGACGUUACUCGCAGAAGAAGCACCGGCUAACUCCGUGCCAGCAGCCGCGGUAAUACGGAGGGUGCGAGCGUUAAUCGGAAUUACUGGGCGUAAAGCGUGCGCAGGCGGUUUGUUAAGCGAGAUGUGAAAGCCCCGGGCUCAACCUGGGAACCGCAUUUCGAACUGGCAAACUAGAGUCUUGUAGAGGGGGGGUAGAAUUCCAGGUGUAGCGGUGAAAUGCGUAGAGAUCUGGAGGAAUACCGGUGGCGAAGGCGGCCCCCUGGACAAAGACUGACGCUCAGGCACGAAAGCGUGGGGAGCAAACAGGAUUAGAUACCCUGGUAGUCCACGCCGUAAACGAUGUCUACUCGGAGUUUGGUGUCUUGAACACUGGGCUCUCAAGCUAACGCAUUAAGUAGACCGCCUGGGGAGUACGGCCGCAAGGUUAAAACUCAAAUGAAUUGACGGGGGCCCGCACAAGCGGUGGAGCAUGUGGUUUUAAUUCGAUGCAACGCGAAGAUCGUUACCUACUCUUGGACAUCCAGAGACUUUCAGAGAUGGAUUGUGCUUCGGGACUCUGAGACAGUGCUGCAUGCUGUCGUCAGCUCUGUUGUGAAUGUUGGUAAGUCCCGCACGAGCGCAUCCCUAUCCUACUGCCAGCGGUAUGCCGGACUUUAAGGAACUGCGUGAUAACCGGAGGAGGUGGACACCUCAGUCAUCAUGCCUUCGAUAGCUACACGUGCUCAUGUCGUCAAGUGCAUCCACGUGACGAUUCUCUAAUAGGCGAAU